This 200-nucleotide ribosomal RNA is filed under the name uncultured bacterium. RNAcentral describes it as "partial 16S ribosomal RNA". It matches the Rfam family "Bacterial small subunit ribosomal RNA", at positions 338 to 527 of the family's 1533-position model. The record is from RNAcentral.
CCUACGGGAGGCAGCAGUAGGGAAUCUUCCACAAUGGACGAAAGUCUGAUGGAGCAACGCCGCGUGAAUGAAGAAGGCCUUCGGGUCGUAAAAUUCUGUUGUCAGAGAAGAACGUUGCGUGAGAGUAACUGUUCACGUAUUGACGGUAUCUGACCAGAAAGCCACGGCUAACUACGUGCCAGCAGCCGUCGGCUAAUACC